AUUUGCUCAUAGAUGAUAUGCAUAGUACUCCCAGAACUCGUUAAGUUGGUAGUACUGUGCAUAUCAUCUAUGAGCGAAUAG
Gorilla gorilla gorilla (western lowland gorilla) is the source of this 81-nucleotide microRNA precursor. NCBI's taxonomy places the organism in Eukaryota, Metazoa, Chordata, Mammalia, Primates, Hominidae. The record is from Ensembl.